Molecule: ribosomal RNA, 254 nt
Filed under: uncultured bacterium
Lineage: Bacteria
Description: partial 16S ribosomal RNA
Rfam family: Bacterial small subunit ribosomal RNA
Source: RNAcentral
GACGGAAGGUGCAAGCGUUGCUCGGAAUCACUGGGCGUAAAGGGUGCGUAGGCGGCCGUGCAAGUCUGGCGUGAAAGCCCCGGGCUCAGCCCGGGAAGUGCGCUCGAAACUGCGCGGCUCGAGUGCCGGAGGGGAGAGUGGAAUUCCUGGUGUAGCGGUGAAAUGCGUAGAUAUCAUCAGGAACACCGGAGGCGAAGGCGGCUCACUGGGGGUCUUCUGACGCUGAGGAACGAAAGCCAGGGGAGCGAACGGGG